This 290-nucleotide long non-coding RNA is filed under the name Helianthus annuus (common sunflower). RNAcentral's name for it is "hypothetical non coding rna". Lineage: Eukaryota; Viridiplantae; Streptophyta; Magnoliopsida; Asterales; Asteraceae. The record is from RNAcentral.
GUGUUUGUGCGACUAGAAGAGGGCAAGGGAAGAACAAACCCUAAACAACACAAAUCAAUCAAAUUGAAAGGGGAUUUGAGGGCUAAAUGAAUGCAUGAACCAAGAAUGUUGAUCCCUUAAGUGUUUCUAACAUCAAAUAUCAUAACGUACAAUAAGGAUUGUGAAAGUGAUGUUUAUGAAAGCUAAAGUAUGAAGUUAUGACAUAUAGGCACGAAGAAAGAAGAAGGCGCAAGUCACUCGAAAUCACAAGCAUCUCAAGAUCGCGUAUAAUUUCCCUUUAUGAAUCAUGA